GACCACAGAGUGGUUAGAGCUCACUCCAGUACAAAUGGAGAGGUCCCAGGUUCGAUUCCUGGUAGAGCCA
Molecule: non-coding RNA, 70 nt
Organism: Mycena leptocephala
Lineage: Eukaryota; Fungi; Basidiomycota; Agaricomycetes; Agaricales; Mycenaceae
Source: the annotation of a GenBank genome assembly